This 105-nucleotide microRNA precursor is filed under the name Medicago truncatula (barrel medic). Its description in RNAcentral is "miRNA gene5436". It matches the Rfam family "MIR2587 microRNA precursor family". Lineage: Eukaryota; Viridiplantae; Streptophyta; Magnoliopsida; Fabales; Fabaceae. The record is from RNAcentral.
UUAUGGUGUCAUGGUCAUUGAUGACCGUUCAUAGAAUCCUUGCAAUUGUUUUGCAGUUUAUGUGUGGAUUCUAUGAUGGUCAACAAAAACCUUGGACAUUAAAUA